This 257-nucleotide ribosomal RNA is filed under the name uncultured Glomus. RNAcentral describes it as "partial 18S ribosomal RNA". It matches the Rfam family "Eukaryotic small subunit ribosomal RNA", at positions 624 to 886 of the family's 1831-position model. Lineage: Eukaryota; Fungi; Glomeromycota; Glomeromycetes; Glomerales; Glomeraceae. The record is from RNAcentral.
AAGCUCGUAGUUGAAUUUCGGGAUCAGACUGUCGGUCGUGCCUCGGUACGCACUGGCAUUAUUGGUUCCUACCUUCUGAAGAACCGCGAUGUCAUUAAUUUGGUGUCGCGGGGAAUCAGGACUGUUACUUUGAAAAAAUUAGAGUGUUUAAGGCAGGCUUACGCUUGAAUACAUUAGCAUGGAAUAAUGAAAUAGGACGUUUGAUUCUAUUUUGUUGGUUUCUAGGAUCGACGUAAUGAUUAAUAGGGAUAGUUGGG